GACAGAGGGGGCAAGCGUUGCUCGGAAUCACUGGGCGUAAAGGGCGCGUAGGCGGGGUGGCAAGUCAGUCGUGAAAUCUCUCGGCUCAACCGAGAAACGUCGGCUGAUACUGCCGUUCUUGAGGGAUGCAGAGGAGACUGGAAUUCCCGGUGUAGCGGUGAAAUGUGUAGAGAUCGGGAGGAACACCGGUGGCGAAGGCGGGUCUCUGGGCAUUUCCUGACGCUGAGGCGCGAAAGCGUGGGGAGCAAACGGG
This 253-nucleotide ribosomal RNA is filed under the name uncultured bacterium. Its description in RNAcentral is "partial 16S ribosomal RNA". It matches the Rfam family "Bacterial small subunit ribosomal RNA", at positions 524 to 776 of the family's 1533-position model. The record is from RNAcentral.